This 63-nucleotide transfer RNA is filed under the name Camelus bactrianus (Bactrian camel). It matches the Rfam family "tRNA". Rfam says of the family: Transfer RNA (tRNA) molecules are approximately 80 nucleotides in length. Their secondary structure includes four short double-helical elements and three loops (D, anti-codon, and T loops). Further hydrogen bonds mediate the characteristic L-shaped molecular structure. tRNAs have two regions of fundamental functional importance: the anti-codon, which is responsible for specific mRNA codon recognition, and the 3' end, to which the tRNAs corresponding amino acid is attached (by aminoacyl-tRNA synthetases). tRNAs cope with the degeneracy of the genetic code in two manners: having more than one tRNA (with a specific anti-codon) for a particular amino acid; and 'wobble' base-pairing, i.e. permitting non-standard base-pairing at the 3rd anti-codon position. Lineage: Eukaryota; Metazoa; Chordata; Mammalia; Artiodactyla; Camelidae. RNAcentral also lists the same sequence under 2 other names. The record is from Rfam by way of RNAcentral.
GAGGCUAUAGCUCAGUGGUAGAGUGCUUGCACACAGUCCUGGGUUCAAUCCCUAGUACCUCCA